Long non-coding RNA from Hypanus sabinus (Atlantic stingray), 1785 nucleotides. RefSeq lists it as uncharacterized. The record is from RefSeq and is a predicted model, not a curated record. The transcript is spliced from 3 exons. NCBI's taxonomy places the organism in Eukaryota, Metazoa, Chordata, Chondrichthyes, Myliobatiformes, Dasyatidae.
CUGGGAACUUCAGCCUUUUCCUUGGACUGAAUGCACUCGCUUUGCUUCGUGGCGUCAAAAGUUAAUUCUUCAUAGUACCUCAAGUAGAAGUAAUUAAUCUUCCUCGACGCUGCAGCUGGGGAGAGAACCAGUCUGAGGCUGCCCUAUCAAGGAGACUGAAGGAUUUUGUACUUUUCGAUGAGGUCACCUCCAACACUGUUAAAAAUGGCACAGCAAACUUAUAAAUCCAAGGACGUGAAAGACUGAGUAAAUAUUAACAAUCAAUCUUGUCCAAUCCCUAAUGCCUACCUGCGACUUUUCUCCUAUACAUUAUUCUCCUGUGGAUGCAGCAUGACUGGAGGAUAAAUUCUGUCUUUAAUGGAGGAGACCAGAGGGCGACCUUCAGCAGCGCAGGUUUUGAGUGCUUGGCUCCUGAGCAAGAUCGACUGCGCUCGCGAGGAGACUGAUAGGCAAUGAUGAGGCUACUGGCAAAGAGGUGCUGAACGGGGAUUGGUUGAUGGUGACAAAGCAAUUCCAGUCAGAAUCCGAAUCAGGUUGAAUAUCACCGGGGUAUGUCGUGAAAUUUGCCGUCUUUGCGGCAGCAGUAUGAUGCAAUACACAGAAAAGAACCAUGAAUUGCAGGCAUCCAUAACCUUCCAGGACUACAUAUUCCAAAUACACAUUGCCCUCUAAGGGAAGAAAUUAGUUUUUGUCUCAAUCCUAACAGUCUACCCAUUAUUCCAAGAUUGUGGACCCUGGUUCUAAACUCUUUGGCCAGGACAAAUAUUUUCUAUGCAUUGAGCUCUUCUAAAGAAUUUUGUAAAUUUUAGAGAAGUUUCUACUUAUUCUUCUAAACUCAAUACAAGUUGAAUUACCUGAAAUUCCAAAAUCAGGAAAUCUCUGAAAAGUGAAAGUUUUUGAGCACUGACAUGAUGUCACUAAAGGAAAAUUCCACAAGACACUGGGAAUGUUCACGAGUAAUGGACAGGUGUCUGCACACCAUACACAGUUCUGAGAAGUGACCUCAUAUAUGUAAUGAGCUCAAGUUAACGAAAAAUAGAAAAUCCCUGCAUAAAGUGAAAAAUGAAGAUCUCGAUUGUGUAUUAAAGGAGUGGAUUCAUCAGCGAUGGAGUGAACACAUGUAAUUGAAGGUGGUUGUGAAAAUUCAGCAGGCUGCUUGCAGAAAUUUAAUAAAAGGCACGGCCUUAAAUUUUUAAAGAUUAAAAAAGUUUCAAACAUAAAGCAUCUGCUGAUCACAAAGCAGCAGAGAAAUUCAUGGAUGAGUUUGCAAAGAUUGCUGCUGAUGAAAAUCAGAACGAGUCUGUAAAUCUACAAUGCUGAUUGUUUUAUGCCUUACAUAAAAACUAAAGAAGUAAAGGACAGUGUACUGAAACCUUUUAAUCAAAAAAUAGUAUCGUAGGUGGAGACUGAAAGCCUGCCAUUGUUUAUUGUUGUUUAACAGCUGAUUCAGAUAAUCUCCCAUAGCUGCUGAGCUGCUUUUGCUAUCCUGCACACAUUAUAUUGAUUGUAUGUAAUAAUUUUUGCUGUUAAGUACAUAUAUGUGAUGUACAACAGUAAAUCAAAGACUAUUUACCAGUAGCACAUAAAGUCAGAGUCAGAAAUGACGGUGAUCACAAGCUAUCUCAUUAUAUAUCCUAAAAUAAAAAAAAUCAGGAAGAGUUCCAACCCCAAGCAUUUUGGACAAGGGGUGUUCAACCUUAGUGGUUAUCAUAAGGCAAACCACCUACCUGUAAAAAAACUGACAAGUUUUAAGUUUUUUUUUGAAUAAAUAAACUAAUGCUGUAA